This 218-nucleotide ribosomal RNA is filed under the name Mesorhizobium sp. RNAcentral's name for it is "partial 23S ribosomal RNA". It matches the Rfam family "Bacterial large subunit ribosomal RNA", at positions 2432 to 2649 of the family's 2925-position model. The record is from RNAcentral. Lineage: Bacteria; Pseudomonadati; Pseudomonadota; Alphaproteobacteria; Hyphomicrobiales; Phyllobacteriaceae.
UAUGGAAGGGCCAUCGCUCAACGGAUAAAAGGUACUCUGGGGAUAACAGGCUGAUACCGCCCAAGAGUUCAUAUCGACGGCGGUGUUUGGCACCUCGAUGUCGGCUCAUCUCAUCCUGGGGCUGUAGCCGGUCCCAAGGGUAUGGCUGUUCGCCAUUUAAAGAGGUACGUGAGCUGGGUUUAAAACGUCGUGAGACAGUUUGGUCCCUAUCUUCCGUG